This 305-nucleotide ribosomal RNA is filed under the name uncultured bacterium. RNAcentral's name for it is "bacterial SSU rRNA". It matches the Rfam family "Bacterial small subunit ribosomal RNA", at positions 337 to 640 of the family's 1533-position model. The record is from RNAcentral.
GCCUACGGGGCGCAGCAGUGAGGAAUAUUGGUCAAUGGGCGAGAGCCUGAACCAGCCAAGUCGCGUGAGGGAGUACUGCCCUAUGGGUUGUAAACCUCUUUUGUCGGGGAGCAAAAGACGCCACGUGUGGCGUUCCGAGAGUACCCGAAGAAAAAGCAUCGGCUAACUCCGUGCCAGCAGCCGCGGUAAUACGGAGGAUGCGAGCGUUAUCCGGAUUUAUUGGGUUUAAAGGGUGCGCAGGCGGAAGAUCAAGUCAGCGGUAAAAUUGAGAGGCUCAACCUCUUCGAGCCGUUGAAACUGGUUUU